AGCGAACGCUGGCGGCAGGCUUAACACAUGCAAGUCGAGCGGGCAUCCUUGUGGUGUCCGCGGCAGACGGGUGAGUAACGCGUGGGAACGUGCCCUUCGGUUCGGAAUAACUCAGGGAAACUUGAGCUAAUACCGGAUACGUGCGAGAGCAGAAAGGUUUAUCUGCCGAAGGAUCGGCCCGCGUCUGAUUAGCUAGUUGGUGAGGUUAUGGCUCACCAAGGCGACGAUCAGUAGCUGGUCUGAGAGGAUGAUCAGCCACACUGGGACCGAGACACGGCCCAGACUCCUACGGGAGGCAGCAGUGGGGAAUAUUGGACAAUGGGGGCAACCCUGAUCCAGCCAUGCCGCGUGAGUGAUGACGGCCUUAGGGUUGUAAAGCUCUUUUCUCCGGGACGAUAAUGACGGUACCGGAGGAAUAAGCCCCGGCUAACUUCGUG
Molecule: ribosomal RNA, 437 nt
Filed under: uncultured bacterium
Lineage: Bacteria
Description: partial 16S ribosomal RNA
Rfam family: Bacterial small subunit ribosomal RNA
Source: RNAcentral